Molecule: ribosomal RNA, 453 nt
Filed under: uncultured Sphingobacteriales bacterium
Lineage: Bacteria; Pseudomonadati; Bacteroidota; Sphingobacteriia; Sphingobacteriales
Description: bacterial SSU rRNA
Rfam family: Bacterial small subunit ribosomal RNA
Source: RNAcentral
CGGUGGAGCAUGUGGUUUAAUUCGAAGCAACGACGAAGAACCUUACCAGGCCUUGACAUGCAGAGAACUUUCCAGAGAUGGAUUGGUGCCUUCGGGAACUCUGACACAGGUGCUGCGUGGCUGUCGUCAGCUCGUGUCGUGAGAUGUUGGGUUAAGUCCCAUAACGAGCGCAACCCUACCUUUAGUUGCCAUCAGGUAAUGCUGGGGACUCUAAAGGAACUGCCUACGCAAGUAGUGAGGAAGGCGGGGAUGACGUCAAAUCAGCACGGCCCUUACGUCCAGGGCUACACACGUGCUACAAUGGCCGAUACAGAGGGCAGCUACCUGGUGACAGGAUGCAAAUCUCCAAAGUCGGUCUCAGUUCGGAUCGGAGUCUGCAACCCGACUCCGUGAAGUUGGAUUCGCUAGUAAUCGCGCAUCAGCCAUGGCGCGGUGAAUACGUUCCCGGGCCUU